GACGAACGCUGGCGGCGUGCUUAACACAUGCAAGUCGAACGGAAAGGCCCUGCUUUUGUGGGGUGCUCGAGUGGCGAACGGGUGAGUAACACGUGAGUAACCUGCCCUUGACUUUGGGAUAACUUCAGGAAACUGGGGCUAAUACCGGAUAGGAGCUCCUGCUGCAUGGUGGGGGGUGGAAAGUUUCGGCGGUUGGGGCUGGACUCGCGGCUUAUCAGCUUGUUGGUGGGGUAGUGGCUUACCAAGGCUUUGACGGGUAGCCGGCCUGAGGGGGUGACCGGCCACAUUGGGACUGAGAUAGGGCCCAGACUCCUACGGGAGGCAGCAGUGGGGAAUAUUGCACAAUGGGCGGAAGCCCGAUGCAGCAACGCCGCGUGCGGGAUGACGGCCUUCGGGUUGUAAACCGCUUUCGCCUGUGACGAAGCGUGAGUGACGGUAAUGGGUAAAGAAGCACCGGCUAACUACGUG
Molecule: ribosomal RNA, 468 nt
Filed under: uncultured bacterium
Lineage: Bacteria
Description: partial 16S ribosomal RNA
Rfam family: Bacterial small subunit ribosomal RNA
Source: RNAcentral